UUAAAAAACGAAUUACCAUUGACAGUAGGGGCGAAAGCUUAAUAAUCCUACCGAGGAAAACUUAAUUUAAACAUAUUGUUUUUUGUAAGCUUUCCCUUUGUCGUGGGAAAGUUUUUAAAAUA
RNAcentral lists this small RNA (122 nucleotides) under human gut metagenome. RNAcentral describes it as "Ribosomal protein L10 leader". It matches the Rfam family "Ribosomal protein L10 leader". Rfam says of the family: This family is a putative r-protein leader autoregulatory structure found in B. subtilis and other low-GC Gram-positive bacteria. It is located in the 5' untranslated regions of mRNAs encoding ribosomal proteins L10 and L12 (rplJ-rplL). The record is from RNAcentral.